Molecule: small nuclear RNA, 164 nt
Organism: Elgaria multicarinata webbii
Lineage: Eukaryota; Metazoa; Chordata; Lepidosauria; Squamata; Anguidae
Product: U1 spliceosomal RNA
Exons: 1
Source: RefSeq, a predicted model, not a curated record
GUACUUACCUGGCAGGGGAGACACCUUGAUCAUGAAGGUGGUUCUCCCAGGGUGAGGCUCACCCAUUGCACUCCAGGUAUGCAAUUUCCUGCAAUUUCCCCAAAUGUGGGAAACUCAACUGCAUAAUUUGUGGUAGUGGGGGACUGCUUUCAUGCUUUCCCCUC